Molecule: ribosomal RNA, 831 nt
Filed under: uncultured bacterium
Lineage: Bacteria
Description: bacterial SSU rRNA
Rfam family: Bacterial small subunit ribosomal RNA
Source: RNAcentral
GAGUUUGAUCCUGGCUCAGGAGAAGCGGGCGGCGUGCUUAACACAUGCAAGUCGAACGGAGCGAAUGAAAGCUUGCCUUUAUGAGCUUAGUGGCAAACGGGUGAGUAACACGUAGACAACCUGCCGACAGGAUGGGGACAACAUUCCGAAAGGAAUGCUAAUACCGAAUGAAGCGGAGGAGAGGCAUCUCUCUUCCGUGAAGGAUGGCCUCUGAACAUGCUAUCACCUGUCGAUGGGUCUGCGUCUGAUUAGCUGGUUGGUGAGGUAACGGCUCACCAAGGCGACGAUCAGUAGCCGGUCUGAGAGGAUGAACGGCCACAUUGGGACUGAGACACGGCCCAGACUCCUACGGGAGGCAGCAGUGGGGAAUCUUCCGCAAUGGGCGCAAGCCUGACGGAGCAACGCCGCGUGAGUGAAGAAGGCCUUCGGAUCGUAAAGCUCUGUUGAUGGGGACGAACGUGCGAAGGGUGAAUAAUCCUUUGCAAUGACGGUACCUAUCGAGGAAGCCACGGCUAACUACGUGCCAGCAGCCGCGGUAAUACGUAGGUGGCGAGCGUUGUCCGGAAUCAUUGGGCGUAAAGGGAGCGCAGGCGGGCAUGUAAGUCUUUCUUAAAAGUUCGGGGCUCAACCCCGUGAUGGGAAAGAAACUACAUGUCUUGAGUACAGGAGAGGAAAGCGGAAUUCCCAGUGUAGCGGUGAAAUGCGUAGAUAUUGGGAGGAACACCAGUGGCGAAGGCGGCUUUCUGGACUGCAACUGACGCUGAGGCUCGAAAGCCAGGGGAGCGAACGGGAUAGAUACCCCGGUAGUCCUGCCCGUAUCCGAUGGAUACU